Molecule: ribosomal RNA, 253 nt
Filed under: uncultured bacterium
Lineage: Bacteria
Description: partial 16S ribosomal RNA
Rfam family: Bacterial small subunit ribosomal RNA
Source: RNAcentral
UACGGGGGGGGCAAGCGUUGUUCGGAAUCACUGGGCGUAAAGCGCACGUAGGCGGACUUGUCAGUCAGGGGUGAAAUCCCGGGGCUCAACCUCGGAACUGCCUCUGAUACAGCAAGUCUUGAGUCCGGAAGAGGUGGGUGGAAUUCCUAGUGUAGAGGUGAAAUUCGUAGAUAUUAGGAAGAACACCGGUGGCGAAGGCGGCCCACUGGUCCGGUACUGACGCUGAGGUGCGAAAGCGUGGGGAGCAAACAGG